GAUGAAGAACGCAGCAAAAUGCGAUAAGUAAUGUGAAUUGCAGAAUUCAGUGAAUCAUCGAAUCUUUGAACGCACAUUGCGCCCGCCAGUAUUCUGGCGGGCAUGCCUGUUCGAGCGUCAUUUCAACCCUCAAGCACAGCUUGGUGUUGGGACUCGCGUUAAUUCGCGUUCCUCAAAUUGAUUGGCGGUCACGUCGAGCUUCCAUAGCGUAGUAGUAAAACCUUCGUUACUGGUAAUCGUCGCGGCCACGCCGUUAAACCCCAACUUCUGAAUGUUGACCUCGGAUCAGGUAGGAAUACCCGCUGAACUUAAGCAUAUCAAUAAGCGGAGGA
Molecule: unclassified non-coding RNA, 332 nt
Filed under: soil metagenome
Description: partial contains 5.8S ribosomal RNA, internal transcribed spacer 2, and large subunit ribosomal RNA
Rfam family: 5.8S ribosomal RNA (bases 1-120)
Source: RNAcentral